Haemorhous mexicanus (house finch) is the source of this 3598-nucleotide long non-coding RNA. RefSeq lists it as uncharacterized. The transcript has 2 exons. NCBI's taxonomy places the organism in Eukaryota, Metazoa, Chordata, Aves, Passeriformes, Fringillidae. The record is from RefSeq and is a predicted model, not a curated record.
AGACGCGUCUUGUCUGUAGCGGUGCGCCGAUUUACAGAGGCUGGGAACAGAGGAAGGACAAACCUCCUGAUUUUAUUUUUGCUGGGGGUGUAAAAUGAACCAAGGCUUUCUGCAGUCACUAUUCUAUACAUAUCUUUUGGGUCUGAUGCUAUUUUUGUUGGCUGUGACCCUGGAGGUGUAGGUGUGGAAGUGCCUUUCUGCUGCUCUCUGCAUGCGGCUGUAGAUGUUUCCUCUGUUCCAGGCGCCUCCUCAGACUCUGUGGCCUUUCAGGGGGAGUAGGCGGAUGUCAGCGUGGCCUUUCCCCACCUGUCUGUAACUUUUUAAUACUUCUUUUUAUUUUGGCCUUGCGCUUCUUCCAUGGAACAUCUCUGGGUAGCCACUGGGAGGUGUAAAUGGCUUGAGAUGGAAACCACAGCUUGUAGGUGCGCCCUCUGCCAGGCUUUUCUGGCACCCGAGGAAGUCAGGUCUCUGCCUGCUCCCAAGCAAAAGGGAUAUUACCAGCUGCUCAGUGCGAAAACAAAUUCACAGAGAUACAGGAAAGUGUGUUAAGGUGGUGGGAAGCAACGGGAGUGAGAUUCCUGGCAGCUCGGCAGGACAGCAAGCCCCUGCAAGUGUUUAGCUGUUUGUCGUGACUGCUCAGGAGGCUGGCCUAGCCACAUGCUGGGGUCUGUCCAGCUGCAUCCAGACAGGCACAGCCUGUGCUGAGGGUGGGAGCAGGGCUGAGACACACCAGUGUGGCAAUCGGCUUGAGGGGCUGCAGGAGAAGACCAUCACCAGGACCGGCUGCUGCAUGGUUGUGGAAAGUGAAGGUGCCCGACCAGGAACAUGUCUCCCUGCUUGUGACCUGGGUGUGGGGCUGUUACUUUACCCCAGCUCCAUGGCAGUGCAGUGCCCAGCUGGGCUCUGCACAUUGUGUGUGGACAUGGGGACAAGCAGGAAAGCCCAGCAGCCUCCUCACACAGCACCACAGAUCUCCCUGCUGCCCACUUGGCUGCUGCACCCACCACCUCCUGCAGAGAAAUCUCCCUCUUCUUAGGGGCGUGCCUGUUCUCAGUGAAGUUGCAAACCCUCUAGGGCAAGGCGCAAGACUCGUCUGUCUCCUCCCUGAACAUGCCGCAAGUGUGUGAAGCUAGAGAAGGGAUUUCCAUCCUGCCAGCGUGGUAAUGGGAGCUGAGGAAGUGCCCAGCCUGGCUGCAGCAAGGCGAGGUAUGGAGCAAGAUGUGUUUGUCAUCAGUGGUGGAGCAGAGCCACGAAGCUGCUGUUGGGAAGACUGGUGGUCUACCCUGCUGCAGGUCCCCAGAGCGGUACCCCAUCCCUGUGGAGAGUCCACAUCCAUGGGACAGCCUGUGCAGCCAGGUGCCAGCAUCCUCUUUCCUCCAGGUCUCAGCUGGGCACUUGGUGGUCCUGAGGUCCCCAGCAUCCCUGCUGGGUCCAACCUCAGGAGCGGGUUAUUGUGUGCAGCAAGGGCACAGCUUCAAAUAGGUGCCCUUAACCUGGCCUAAUCUGCACAGGACUCUGUGCCUGCCAGGGCAGAGGGAAGUCAAAUAUAUCUCACCUCAAUAAAUUGUUGUUCAGCUUAAGGGAAGUGCCAGAAGAUUUAAAGAGGCUGUUGGCAGAUUCCAGAAAAAAAGAAACAAGUGACAUCUGCUGCACAUCAAAACAGCAAUUACCUUUGUGUCAGUAAGAUGGUUAAUGCAUGUAACAAGUGGUUGGGGACAUGGAAAGGCAUAGAUCUCAGAAACCAGGACAAAAUCGUUUUUUUCAAAUCCUGCAUCCACGGUCCCAAGCUGAUACACAAGCAAGAUGAUAAUGCAGCACGGUGGUUUUUGUUGGCCUCUGCCUGUUUCCAGCCACAGCAGCCCUGGCUGCUGAUUAUUCAGCAGACAUUAACCAGUGGAAUGUUUCCUGAUUUUUUUUCUCAAAAAAAGAGUGCUGGGACAAAAUGCUUUCAUCUUUUUAUUUUCUUUUUUGAGAAAGUCUAAGACAACUCCGGAGCCUCUUGGAUCAUGACAUUUAUGUGACAUGCAGUGCUGGUGUCAGAAGGUGCUGCUUGCUGUGCUGGUGGCCGCUUACCUCCAACAGGCUCAGCUGUAACCCUCUGAAAAAUACCAUUUUGUCCUUUCACAGUGGAGCUUGUCAUAACCUUAUUUCCAAACACGUGGGUUGCACUCCACACAUCUUAGAGCUCCGUGAGAUAUUUGCGUUAGGGAGGCAGCUUGCUUUCCCACCUAUCCCAUUCCAUCAAAACACACUUUUAGCACCAGGCAGGAAGCCAAGGUCAAGUCUCCUUUUCUUUUUUUUUUCUUCCUCCUGCCUGCUCUGAAUACAUUAUAAUACAGACUUCGGCUCCAUUAUUAUAUCUUUUCCCACAAGACCAUUGCCUCAUUCAGACCUCAGCAGAGAACAUGUUUUCAUCUCUGCCAGCUGGGCAUGGCUGGAGAGCCCUGUGCCUGUCGGAGCUCCAAGGAGGAGGACACGGAGGUGAGGCUUUGCAGAUUCCCGUGCACAGAGCACAGAGGAGCUUGGUUAGCUCCAAAUCUGGUCGGGCAUUUCCAGGGAGCCUCUCCCACUGCCUCCCUUGUCAGGCCAGUAAUGAAGAAUGUCAAUGACAAUGGGAUUCCUCUCCUCUGUUUUUAAGUGCCUAAAAGUUAGGUGUCUAAACCUAAUUAGUUGGACAGGCUUCCUGCAUAGCCAAUGGAGACAAAUAGGCACCUCUAGUGUAUGAUUCAUUUCACAUAUCUUGAAGUUUAUCUUGAGAAGGGCUGACUCACCCGACAGCCAAGCACCCGCUUCUCUUCUGUGACUGUAAAGGCAGAUCAGCAACUUGCUGAGGAUUUGACAGCUACAUUUUGGGUGUCCCAAGCUGGGCAAGGUGAGUCCUGCUCCCAGCUGUGGCAGUGGCUGUGGAAAGCAUCAUCACUUGGCUGCUCUGGCUUGCCCCCCUCCCACCCUGUUUCCCACAGGAGGUCCAUUUGCAGCCCUGCCCAAGCAGGGCUGGGUUUUAGUCUGUCCAAAUCACAUUAUCAGCCCUUAUCACACUAUCAGACCAAGUUAAAUAUUUAUAAAGCACCUGGGGGCAGGGUCCACAUCUUUCUUCAGUUUGUAUAUUCCCUCGAGGAGCAAAGCCCCUGUGCUGGUUUGCAGCCCUUUGCAGGCUGGUGCAAUACAGCACCACGAGUCCGUGUGCCAAUCUGCAUGUCUUGACAAAAUGCAGCUGGGAAUGCAGAAAGACCUCAUGGACAUUGGGAAAUAGGCAGGGGUGAAUCAUAAGAGUCAGGAGAAGCAACUAAUGUGUGGGAAAAAGGCAAAUGUGCUACCUCGGCACAAACAUACAAUAAGGAAGUAUGUAAUAAUAAUUAUUGUUAUUGUAAUACGGCCUGGGUGAGCAUUUGGGAAAAAGAUAUCUAAUAACUGACAAGCGACGUGGCUCGGUUUGUUUUGAUCUGAAAUUCAAACAAUGGUUGUGUUUAUAAGGCAAUAAUACGCAGGGUACUGGCACCACACCAACUAUGCACUCCCCAAGUCGGGUUUAUAUAGGUCAUGCCAAACAAAUAAUAGUGUUCUUCAAUAUAAUUACUGAUUCAUUACUGAAAGAGAA